This 2399-nucleotide long non-coding RNA is filed under the name Sus scrofa (pig). RNAcentral's name for it is "lncRNA (ENSSSCG00055018357.1)". Lineage: Eukaryota; Metazoa; Chordata; Mammalia; Artiodactyla; Suidae. The record is from RNAcentral.
AGUGACCUUCCAAAAUUGAUAUUGAAACUGAGAACACUAAAGGCCUAAGCCUAACCAGAACUCAGACUGGGACUUGAACCCAUGUGCUGGGACUCGAACCCAGACUGAACCCAGAUUGGGACUUGAACCCACCUGCCAGGACUUGAACCCAGCCAAAGCCAGAUUGGGACUCGAACCUAUGGUUUUAUUUACUUUUUAUCUUUUUUUGUAUUAAUGCUUAAUGAAUUUUAUUACAUUUAUAGGUGUACAACAAUAAUCACCACCAAAUUUUACAGCAUGUCCAUGCCAAGCCCUCAUUGCAUCCCCCCACCCCCCAACCUGUCUCAUUUGGAAACCAAACUUUUGCAAAGUCUGUGAGUCAUUAUCUGUCCUGCAAAGAAGUUCAUUGUGUUCUUUUUUUAGAUUCCGCAUGUCAGUGAUAGCAUUUGAUGUUGGUGUCUCAUUGACUGACUUCACUUAGCAUGAUAAUUUUUAGGUCCAUCCAUGUUGCUAAAAAUACCAUUAUUUCCUUUUAAUGACUGAGUAAUGUUCCAUUGUGUAUAUGUACCACAUCUUCUUUAUCCACUCCUCUGUCAAUGGACAUUUAGGUUGUUUCCAUGUUUUGGCUAUUGAAAAUAGUGCUGCAAUGAAGAUUGGAGUACAUGUGUCUUUUUGAGUAAUGGUUUUCUCUGGUUAGAUGCCCAGGAGUGGGAUUGCUGGAUCAAAUAGUAGUUCUAUUUUUAGUUUUCUGAGGAAUCUCCAUAUUGUGUUCCACAGUGGUUGCACCAAUUUACAUUCCCACUAACAGUGUAAUAAGUUGAACCCAUGGUUUUAAACCAGAAUCACUCACCCAGGAGUUCCCAUCAUGUCUCAGUGGUUAGUGAACCUAAAUAGCAUCCAUGAGGAAGUGGAUUUGAUCCCUGGAUUUUCUCAGUGGGUUAAGGAUCUGGCACUGGGGUGAGCUGUGGUGUAGAUCACAGACACAGCCCAGAUCCAGCAUUGCUAUGGCUCUGGCAUAGGCUGGUGGCUGCAGCUCUGAUUUGACCCCUAGCCUGGGAACCUCCAUAUGCCCCGGGAGAGGCCCAAGGGAUGGCAAAAAGACAAAAAAAAAAAAAAAAAAAAAAAAAAAAAAAANAAAAUCAGGUUUGCAGUGUAUUUCCUAAUAAUAAAAAGAACAGGACAAAAAAUUACAGAGAAAGUCUGAUCAAAGCAAUACACACCCCACACAAUAUUAUGUCAAGAGAAAAAUUCUGGUAGAAAAUGCUCAAAUAUAUUGACAGUGUUUUUCGUCAGGUGGCUAGACACUAAGCAACUCUUUGAAUUCUUCCUGUUCUGUUUCUUGUUUAGGGAGCAUACAUUACUUUUCUGAUGAAAAUAAAACACUUAAAUAAACCUGUGAGGAGUUCCCACUGUGGCACAACAGGUUCAGCAGCAUCUCUGAAGGGCCAAGGUUCAGAUUCAAUCCCUAGCUGGGUACAAUGAGUUAAAGUAUCUGAUCCCUGGCCUGGGAACUCCAUAUGACAAAGGGCAGCCAAGAAAGAAAAACAAACAAACAAACUGGUGAGACUUCCACAAUCCUCUAGAGAAGACAGAACUUUGAUAUCUUUUUUUAUUUUUUGCAAAGGGUCUCUGGGAAUGUCACCCAUCAUUAAGUUUAAAAUCCUCAAGAGGAGAAAGCUUUGAUUGGGAGGAGAGAAGACUUGUUUCGAGGAAAGGAGGAAGAGUGUUAUUGCCCUGUCAGUGAGACUGGACAUAACAUGAGGUAGUGUAGCUAGUCAGUGUAGGAACAUGUGCUCCAAUACAUUCUUCUGAUAUGGCUAUUGAUUAACAUUUGUAGCUUAAGGACUCCAGGCAGUAACACCUCCACAAGUCUUGUUUUAUUAUAGGAAAUGCAAAUUCCCCACAGACUUUGUUUACUAUAGGAAAUGCAAAUCUCUAUCCUACCCCUCAACUGAUAGAAAAGGAGUGAGAGGAAUGGUGACAUAAUCUAAGGAAAGACAAGAACAAAGAAACCUUAAAACUUACAUGGGACACGUCCAACCCUAAAACCCCUAUUGGACAAGGACCAAUAUAGGUAAUUGAGCAAGGCCAAUGGGAGAAAAAACACAUUUUUCUGGACUCCACGUUGGUGACCCUCCCCACCUUUAAGAGAUAAAAAUCCCUAAAGGACAAUAGAAAAGGUGGGCUCUUCUUCCCCCCUCCCAGCAGCCCUGGGAGCUAUUUGCUUUUCUUUAAUAAAGAAUUUGCUUGCUUGCUGCCUGUGUGUUCCUGGAGUUCAUUCUUACACUGCCCUGAACAAGAACCUGGAUUCUGGUUAUCAAUAACACAUCACUCCCCUGGCCCCAUUAAGUUUGCUCCUUCUCUGAGAUCUGUAAACUUGGACAUACUGUUAUGAAGACUGGUUACAGGCAGUUAGAGAG